CGAACGCUGGCGGCGUGCUUAACACAUGCAAGUCGAACGCGAACGGUUUCUUCGGAGACCUAGUAGAGUGGCGCACGGGUGAGUAACGCGUAAAUAAUCUACCCUGAUGUCUGGGAUAACCAGCCGAAAGGCUGACUAAUACCGGCUAUAUGAUUUUCUGUAGGGAGAAUCAGGAAAGGUGGCCUCUUCUUGAAAGCUAUCGCAUUUGGAUGAGUUUGCGUACCAUUAGCUAGUUGGUGGGGUAAUGGCCCACCAAGGCUACGAUGGUUAGCGGGUCUGAGAGGAUGAUCCGUCACACUGGCACUGGAACACGGGCCAGACUCCUACGGGAGGCAGCAGUGAGGAAUAUUGCGCAAUGGGGGAAACCCUGACGCAGCGACGCCGCGUGAGUGAGGAAGGCCUUCGGGUCGUAAAGCUCUGUCAGUAGGGAAGAAAUGUAUAUAAGUUAAUACCUUAUAUAUUUGACGGUACCUGCAAAGGAAGCACCGGCUAACUCC
This 497-nucleotide ribosomal RNA is filed under the name uncultured bacterium. RNAcentral describes it as "bacterial SSU rRNA". It matches the Rfam family "Bacterial small subunit ribosomal RNA", at positions 30 to 504 of the family's 1533-position model. The record is from RNAcentral.